UCGUCACACUAUCAUUAACUGAAUCCAUAGGUUAAUGAGGCGAACCGGGGGAACUGAAACAUCUAAGUACCCCGAGGAAAAGAAAUCAACCGAGAUUCCCCCAGUAGCGGCGAGCGAACGGGGAGGAGCCCAGAGCCUGAAUCAGCAUGUGUGUUAGUGGAAGCGUCUGGAAAGGCGCGCGAUACAGGGUGACAGCCCCGUACACAAAAGCGCAUGUGCUGUGAGCUCGAUGAGUAGGGCGGGACACGUGGUAUCCUGUCUGAAUAUGGGGGGACCAUCCUCCAAGGCUAAAUACUCCUGACUGACCGAUAGUGAACCAGUACCGUGAGGGAAAGGCGAAAAGAACCCCGGCGAGGGGAGUGAAAAAGAACCUGAAACCGUGUACGUACAAGCAGUGGGAGCACAGGUUUACC
RNAcentral lists this ribosomal RNA (413 nucleotides) under Salmonella enterica subsp. enterica serovar Enteritidis. RNAcentral describes it as "partial 23S ribosomal RNA". It matches the Rfam family "Bacterial large subunit ribosomal RNA", at positions 140 to 589 of the family's 2925-position model. Lineage: Bacteria; Pseudomonadati; Pseudomonadota; Gammaproteobacteria; Enterobacterales; Enterobacteriaceae. The record is from RNAcentral.